Molecule: ribosomal RNA, 484 nt
Filed under: uncultured bacterium
Lineage: Bacteria
Description: partial 16S ribosomal RNA
Rfam family: Bacterial small subunit ribosomal RNA
Source: RNAcentral
GACGAACGCUGGCGGCGUGCUUAACACAUGCAAGUCGAACGAUGAACCCGGAGCUUGCUCCGGUGGAUUAGUGGCGAACGGGUGAGUAACACGUGAGUAACCUGCCCUUGACUCUGGGAUAACUGCGGGAAACUGUAGCUAAUACCGGAUACGACCCUCGGCGGCAUCGCCAGGGGGUGGAAAGAAUUUCGGUCAAGGAUGGACUCGCGGCCUAUCAGCUAGUUGGUGAGGUAACGGCUCACCAAGGCGACGACGGGUAGCCGGCCUGAGAGGGGGACCGGCCACACUGGGACUGAGAUACGGCCCAGACUCCUACGGGAGGCAGCAGUGGGGAAUAUUGCACAAUGGGCGCAAGCCUGAUGCAGCGACGCCGCGUGAGGGAUGACGGCCUUCGGGUUGUAAACCUCUUUCAGUAGGGACGAAGCGCAAGUGACGGUACCUACAGAAGAAGGACCGGCCAACUACGUGCCAGCAGCCGCAGUAA